Brachypodium distachyon (stiff brome) is the source of this 701-nucleotide long non-coding RNA. RefSeq lists it as uncharacterized. The transcript has 3 exons. The record is from RefSeq and is a predicted model, not a curated record. Lineage: Eukaryota; Viridiplantae; Streptophyta; Magnoliopsida; Poales; Poaceae.
CGCUAGUGACAGUUUUCCCUUUUCACUACGGCACUACAUGAUGCACAAUUGUGCAUAUCUCUUUCCUCCAGGAAAGGUUAGCAUGAUUGGGCUUUGCUAGCCUGUUCCGGGGAUAAGGAUUCAGGAAUUCUGGGUCAACACAAAGCCUGUGAAUGCUUCGACACUGGGACAGGGCAGCAUGGUCUUCUCCGGAGCAUUUCCAUGUUCUGCCUACCACCAUGGAUCUAGAGUUUGUUAUAAGAAGAAAUACAUUGUUAAUUCCAACUCUGACGACAGGUCUUCGUGAUGGGAUCUCGCAUUCAAUGAAGUCUGCUGGCGUACGAAUUUCUGCAAGUGGUACAUAUAUAAAUGAGGAGCAAUGGAUGGAUUCGACAAGGAGCUGGGAAGGAACAAUGAAGGCUGAGCGUAUCUUCACUUGUCCUUGCCUUCACCGGGCGCUGUCUCACGUGCUUGUAACGUGUAGUUUUACUCCACGCAGAUCCAUACGGAUACUCGGAUCUGGAUCCUAGUCACAGCAUACGAAUACGCAGAUCCACGAGUAGUAGGAGUAGCAAAUUUGUCAAAGCGUCUCACUGCAGCAUCUGGAUUCUGGCAUCCAAGGUUCCCAUAGAUCUGGACCGUCCAUACGCAGUUCCCUCAUGUGUUCGUUUGUUUAUUUAAAUAUGGUAUAGCUCCUCUACAUGUGAUUUUUUUUUUUGAGA